GAGUCUCACUCUGUCACCCAUGUUGGAGUGCAGUAGCAUGGUAUCAGCUCACUGUGACCCCCACUUCCCGGGUUCAAGCAAUUCUCCUGCCUCAGCCUCCUGAGUAGCUGGGAUUACAGGCAUGCACCACCGCACCCAGCUAAUUUUUAUAUUUUUAAUAGAGAGAGGUUUCACCACAUUGGCCAG
Long non-coding RNA from Sapajus apella (tufted capuchin), 186 nucleotides. RefSeq lists it as uncharacterized. The transcript has 3 exons. The record is from RefSeq and is a predicted model, not a curated record. Lineage: Eukaryota; Metazoa; Chordata; Mammalia; Primates; Cebidae.